This 253-nucleotide ribosomal RNA is filed under the name uncultured bacterium. RNAcentral describes it as "partial 16S ribosomal RNA". It matches the Rfam family "Bacterial small subunit ribosomal RNA", at positions 524 to 776 of the family's 1533-position model. The record is from RNAcentral.
UACGGAGGAUCCAAGCGUUAUCCGGAAUCAUUGGGUUUAAAGGGUCCGCAGGCGGACUUAUAAGUCAGUGGUGAAAGCCUACAGCUUAACUGUAGAACUGCCAUUGAUACUGUAAGUCUUGAAUUCGGUCGAAGUGGGCGGAAUAUGACAUGUAGCGGUGAAAUGCUUAGAUAUGUCAUAGAACACCGAUAGCGAAGGCAGCUCACUAGGCCUGGAUUGACGCUCAUGGACGAAAGCGUGGGGAGCAAACAGG